AAUAGGAACACUUUUACACUGUUGGUGGGACUGUAAACUAGUUCAACCAUUGUGGAAGUCAGUGUGGCGAUUCCUCAGGGAUCUAGAACUGGAAAUACAUUUGACCCAGCCAUCCCAUUACUGGGUAUGUACCCAAAGGACUAUAAAUCAUGCUGCUAUAAAGUCACAUGCACACGUAUGUUUAUUGUGGCAUUAUUCACAAUAGCAAAGACUUGGAACCAACCCAAAUGUCCAACAAUGAUAGACUGGAUUAAGAAAAUGUGGCACAUAUACACCAUGGAAUACUAUGCAGCCAUAAAAAAUGAUGAGUUCAUGUCCUUUGCAGGGACAUGGAUGAAAUUGGAAAACAUCAUUCUCAGUAAACUAUCGCAAGAACAAAAAACCAGACACCGCAUAUUCUCACUCAUAGGUGGGAAUUGAACAAUGAGAUCACAUGGACACAGGAAGGGGAAUAUCACACUCUGGGGACUGUUGUGGGGUGAGGGGAGGGGGGAGGGAUAGCAUUGGGAGAUAUACCUAAUGCUAGAUGACGAGUUAGUGGGUGUAAUGCACCAGCAUGGCACAUGUAUACAUAUGUAACUAACCUGCACAAUGUGCACAUGUAGAGUAUAAUAAAAAAAAAAGGCAAAACCAUAUUAGAAAAACAGAAAAGAAAAAGAAAAAAAAAAAAAAAGACUUAAAAUCUCUCUUGGGGCCAGAUACAGAAAGCAUUUUCCUCACCUGUUUUCUUUUCAAAACAGUAGAAAAACUGUUUUUAAAGAAGGGCAAUUAAAGUAGACUAGCCCUGAAUGAUUUUUCUAAUUGUUACAGAAAAUCUGAUGGUUUUCUUACCUUGAAGUCAUGUGUACUAGGUCUUCCAAUUCUCUCUGAAGGGGAAGCCACAUGGCUUCCUAGAUCCUUAAGAAAGGAUAACCCUUAUUGAUAAGCCUCUGUUUAUGACAUGACUUGCCCAGGGUCACACAGAAAGGCAGCAGUAGAGACAAAAAUUACAUACAGAUUGCCUGUCUCGCAGUUUCCCUUCCCUGUUGUUGGAGGAACGUAAUGAGGGUAAGAAAGGAAGGGGUCUCCAGAGAGAUGUAAUGGCUAUUUCUAAGCCAUUUUUAAAAUAAGCUUCAGAUGAUCAAAAGUUCGAGGUCAGAGGAUAAUUUAGGCCAUCAGAAGUUGGCCAGAUUGGAGUUAGGUCCUCUAGAGAAUUCUGUCCUUUGGCAGUCAAAGACAGUGAUGGACGCCAAGCCAGGCCUGUGAUUUGGGCACAGGUCCAGGCUCUAGCCCCCUCUGGAGCCGGGCUCGGAUCUUCACAAGGAGCUCUGCAGCAAGCAGGGUCUGUGCUUGAACAUACGCUUUUAAUCAGAGUCGCUGGAACCUGGAUGGGGCCUCAAACAUAAUUUAAUUCAGUCCUCUCACUUUGCAGAUGUAGAAAUUGAAGGCCAGAUUGAAGGGUGGGCUAUGGAAUGCUUGCACAAGGUCAUCUGUCAAUUUAGGGAACAGCAUGGUAAGGUGAAAAGGGAUCGCUUUGGUGUCAUUGCUGGGUUCCAAAUCCCCGCUCUGCCGCGUAUUAGCUAAGAGACCCCAGGUAAGUCACUUGACCUCCCUGACUAUCAAUGUCCCAGUGUGUAAAGUCGGGACCAUAAUUACAAUGCCUGAAUCACUGGAUUGCUAUCAUUAAAUAAGAUGAAAAAUAAGAAAGUGAUUUGUAAACAGGAAGUCACUUUUCAUACCACAAUGUUAAUAUUAAAUUAUAAUAAAACCCAACCCAAUAAAAGCAGUCCACUUUUCUGAAUGCCCACCACAUGCCAAGUGCCAAGUACUUCACAUACCUUGUUUCUUUUAAUUCACACAAUGAAUGACCCGAGGAGAACGCUCAACUAACAACCAUGUACUUGAACCAGGGGUUUAAAUCAGUCAUACACACAGCAGGAUUUAAAUACUAUCUUCCACAUGGUACCUUCAGAAACGUGGGCCUGGGAUUUCAUUCAUGGGAUACACAUGGCUCCCCCCCCCGUACCCCCUGCCCCCUCUGUAUUGAGUGGGUGGCUCUCACCUGUGGAGGGCAGGGUGCUCUCAUGUUUGUUUAUACCAGAACAUAGAAUAGAACUUGGUAAAGGUAAAUGCUCAUUUAAGAAAUAAAAAUACAUCAAAUAAAGUAAAAAGCAACCUGGUAGAUAGCAUUUCCUUUUCAUUUUUUUAAAAUAGCUUUAUCGAAGGAUAAUUGAAUGGAAAUGGUCAUUAAUAUAUAUCCAGAAUCUAUUAACGUUCGGCUAAGUUGGGGGGAACAUAGGGAUGUUUUAAGGCAACUAAGCGAUUUAGAAAACUUAAGUUCUUUAAUGUUUUCAAAGAAAAGGUUGAGUCUGUAAGAUAUAAUCUGGCAAUUUGUAUAGAACUCUUUCUACUAGCUUCCAGGAAUCCCUGCUCUGUGAGCUUUUUGCCAAACUGAUUGAUCUUCCCAGACAUAAUCUGGGGACCUUCUCUAAUAUGCCCCUGUCCCGCUGUCAGCUUAAUACACUCUUUUGCUAAGUAAUAGGGUAUUGCUAGUGUUCUUCCAGGUUCUCUUCAUAAAGGCGCUUCUCUGUCAAUAAGAGACUGUGUUUAUAUUCUUGUGCACAAAUAACUGGCCCUCUUCUCAGUGUUUGAGAUCCCUCAUCUUGCUCCGACUGUUGCAGCCUUUUCUCGCCAUGACAGACUGCCAUACUACAUGGCCUUCUCCCAUCGAAAGGGUCUAGCAUGUGGACCACUGAACUGCCAAGGAAGCAGUCCAACUGCCCUGAGGCUGCCAUGCUGUGAGGAAACCCAAAGUGGUCCAUAAAGAAGGAUUAUGUGGAGGGACCCUGAAAGAUGCCUGGCCUGCCUCCCACUGCUCCAGUACCCUCCUCCCCAACUCUUCCAGCUUCAGCCACUGUCUGCAACCACAUGAGAGCUCCCGAGCCAUAAAUGCCCAGCCUAGUCUCCCCUAAGUUUCUAACCCACAGUUUAAACUACUAAGCUUGGGUUGCUUUGUUAUGCCUCAAUAGCAACUGGGACAUGCCCCUUUCUCCAUUCUGCUGCUGAAUCUGGUUACAGCAGCAGAGACACAUGCCAGGGGCAUCUCUAGUAACAGGGGAAAGCCCUUUGGGAGUAGAUUCAAAGUGGGGGGUCAAGACAAAUUAUUCAGCGAGCCUGACUUUUAGAACUCAAGGGGCACCAAGUGUGGUUGGUGGGAGCAAUGCCCUGGAUGGAUAAGCCAAGCUCUUGUGUCCUGGCAGAUAAACAAGGUGAACCCUCAAUCCGUGUAGCAGGAGUUUCCAGACAAACUCACUUUGCAUGGAAGGACACUAACCCUUCCAGGUGCAUGGAAAUAUUUUGUAGUUUUUACUGUCUCCCCCUUCCUCCACUGCCUCAUCUUUUUUGUUUUUUCCCCUGUGAGACUAUUUGCUCUGCAUUUCAGAUGUGUCUAAUUUUGUGGAAAGGAGAAGGUUGGGAGCUCCGGAGCUAAUAGGAUGCACAGGAGGAAGAUACGGAGCACAGUGGCUGAGACCUGACAGCUCUCUGAAGACUCCACUUCACCGCCGCCACUCCACUUCACCGCCGCCAGCCCUGGCCCACACCUUUCUUAAGAGCAACUUAAGAAAUUUGCAACUUCAAAACCAGACCAGAGGGUGAGAAGAACUAGCCAACCCAUCCUCCAAGUGUGACUGAGCGGUCAGGCUGCCCCCACCUCAUUUGAGUGAGACCGCCAAGAGCCUUCACGUGGGACCUAGACCACAGGAACACAAUUAGGAAGUACUCCCUGCCCCUCACAACGGCCAUCCUCACCAGGCAGCGGGGACAGAAGGGAGGCAGGUGCAUUCAAAUCGCGCUGGCCUGAAGAAGGGAAAUGAAGCGCUAAACUCAGCUCGGUCCCACAAUGAGUCAGAAUGGGGGCAGGGAGGAGCGCCCAAAGCCCUCUGGCCCUUCUCCUUGGGAACUAGUCCUGCACAUGGCCACCAGCCCUGGGAAUCACAGCAUUUGGCAUGGGUCUCAGUUCUUGUACUCCAUUGCUGUGGGACAAGAGACACUAAACUUCCAGGUUUUCUCUCAAUAGCUGGCUUCACCUGUAAACACAGUGGCAUAUUAGACAAGCUCUCUUCAUCUGAAAUGUGCCCACCCCCCCAACAAUCCCACCUUUGCCUGCUCAAACCUGACUCAUGCUUCAUGUUCAUAUUCAACUUCUUCCCUUGUGCUUCUAACUAAAUCUAGGAAUCUCCUUGUUCUUAGAACCACCUUUAUCCCUUCUCAGAUAUUUAUGUAUAUCAGUUUUUAAAUGAAAAUAAUUUCUCACCUAUUAAGCUGGGCACCCUGCUAAUCACUUUCACACUUGCUGUUUAAUUUGCUGUUUUGCUCCCUAAUAUUAGACAAAAACUCCUUGAAAACAGAGACUGUGUCUGACUCAUCGCUCCUUCCCCCACCAGGCACUAUCCUCUCAACAGUUACUGGAUUAAUAAUUUUUUAAAAAAUUUUAAAAAACUAUUUUAAAAAAAUAUAAAUUAGUAAAAACUGUGGCAUUAGCAUGAAAUGACUAAUAUGUUCAAGUUCCACUUGAGGAAGUUAGGGUGAUGUCAGUGAAAACCUGCCCUUAGAGGAUCCCUGCCUGCAUGAGGGACUCUGGGACUGCAAAGU
Molecule: long non-coding RNA, 4632 nt
Filed under: Homo sapiens (human)
Lineage: Eukaryota; Metazoa; Chordata; Mammalia; Primates; Hominidae
Description: HSALNT0066037
Source: RNAcentral